Molecule: ribosomal RNA, 274 nt
Filed under: uncultured bacterium
Lineage: Bacteria
Description: partial 16S ribosomal RNA
Rfam family: Bacterial small subunit ribosomal RNA
Source: RNAcentral
AUACGGAGGGUCCGAGCGUUAAUCGGAAUUACUGGGCGUAAAGCGCGCGUAGGCGGAUAUUUAAGUCAGAUGUGAAAUCCCUGGGCUCAACCUAGGAACUGCAUUUGAAACUGGAUAUCUAGAGUAUGGUAGAGGUGAGUGGAAUUUCAGGUGUAGCGGUGAAAUGCGUAGAGAUCUGAAGGAACAUCAGUGGCGAAGGCGACUCACUGGGCCAUUACUGACGCUGAGGUGCGAAAGCGUGGGUAGCAAACAGGAUUAGAAACCCUAGUAGUCC